This 484-nucleotide ribosomal RNA is filed under the name uncultured bacterium. RNAcentral's name for it is "partial 16S ribosomal RNA". It matches the Rfam family "Bacterial small subunit ribosomal RNA", at positions 36 to 507 of the family's 1533-position model. The record is from RNAcentral.
CUGGCGGCAUGCUUUACACAUGCAAGUCGAACGGUAACAGGCCUUCGGGUGCUGACGAGUGGCGAACGGGUGAGUAAUGCAUCGGAACGUACCCAGAGGUGGGGGAUAACGCAGCGAAAGCUGUGCUAAUACCGCAUGUGAUCUGAGGAUGAAAGCGGGGGACCGAGCAGCAAUGUUUGGCCUCGCGCCUUUGGAGCGGCCGAUGUCGGAUUAGCUAGUUGGUGGGGUAAAGGCCUACCAAGGCGACGAUCCGUAGCUGGUCUGAGAGGACGACCAGCCACACUGGGACUGAGACACGGCCCAGACUCCUACGGGAGGCAGCAGUGGGGAAUUUUGGACAAUGGGCGCAAGCCUGAUCCAGCAAUGCCGCGUGCGGGAAGAAGGCCUUCGGGUUGUAAACCGCUUUUGGCAGGAACGAAACGGUGUCCGCUAAUACCGGGCGCUAAUGACGGUACCUGCAGAAUAAGCACCGGCUAACUACGUG